Molecule: ribosomal RNA, 497 nt
Filed under: uncultured bacterium
Lineage: Bacteria
Description: partial 16S ribosomal RNA
Rfam family: Bacterial small subunit ribosomal RNA
Source: RNAcentral
GAUGAACGCUGGCGGCGUGCCUAAUACAUGCCAGUCGAGCGAACAGAUAAGGAGCUUGCUCCUUUGACGUUAGCGGCGGACGGGUGAGUAACACGUGGAUAACCUACCUAUAAGACUGGGAUAACUUCGGGAAACCGGAUCUAAUACCGGAUAACAUAUUGAACCGCAUGGUUCAAUAGUGAAAGGCGGCUUUGCUGUCACUUAUAGAUGGAUCCGCGCCGGAUUAGCUAGUUGGUAAGGUAACGGCUUACCAAGGCAACGAUACGUAGCCGACCUGAGAGGGUGAUCGGCCACACUGGAACUGAGACACGGUCCAGACUCCUACGGGAGGCAGCAGUAGGGAAUCUUCCGCAAUGGGCGAAAGCCUGACGGAGCAACGCCGCGUGAGUGAUGAAGGUCUUCGGAUCGUAAAACUCUGUUAUCAGGGAAGAACAAAUGUGUAAGUAACUGUGCACAUCUUGACGGUACCUGAUCAGAAAGCCACGGCUAACUACGUG